RNAcentral lists this long non-coding RNA (840 nucleotides) under Sus scrofa (pig). RNAcentral describes it as "lncRNA (ENSSSCG00070005148.1)". Lineage: Eukaryota; Metazoa; Chordata; Mammalia; Artiodactyla; Suidae. The record is from RNAcentral.
UCUGAUUUCUUUCCCCACCCAGAACACCGGCCUGUAAUUAGUGCCUGUCUCUGUAGUACGCAAAACCAAACUUUAUAAACUACAGGGCGCAAGUAAUGCCUAAUCUGUUUGAGAUGCUCUGUGUCAGGAUCUAGGCUAGCUGAGGCGGCAAAGUAGCCUUGUCCCUGAAUUUAAGGUAACUUGGUUUUGGUAGAAAGAGCUUGUGUUUGAAAGACCAGUGUGUAGCCAGAUCCUGACUUUGUGAUGAAUUUGCCAAGUGAUCCUGAUCACUUAGCCGUUCUAAACCUCAGUUUCGGGGCGGGGGGGAGUAUAAGGAUUAGAUGAAUUAACGUCAAUCACCUGGCACAUUCUGAGUAGUAAACAUUUAAAGGACUGGUAGGACUGAUGUGGUGUGGAAGAUUUAUGUGAUUGCAACACUUUAAUGAAUGCUAACAUGGCUGUAAACAGGCUACUUUUGAACUCUAAGGAGAGAAGGCCUAACUUUGCACAAACUCUAGUGUGCAGGCCGUGUCCGAGCCCAGCUCAGCUGAUCAGCGUGACCUUGGAGGAGCUGCUUGCCAUCUUCACCAGUGUGCUGGGGCGCUCGCCCUUUCUCCUUGUUGUUUCCCAUCACGACGUGGCCGUCAGGGGUUCCAAGAAGCUGGAAUGAGAGUAGUGCCUUCUCCGCCUCCAGGAUGUAAUCUGAGGUAAGAGGGAGAGUGUGAGGGGCCUUCACCUCCACCCUCCAUCCCUUCCACCCAUCACGAUACACAAAGCAACCACACCUUUUUCUUUUCCUUUUUUUUUUUAAAUCAGCAUCAUCAUAAUAAAUAAUAUUUAUAAUAUUUUUUAAAAUGUUAC